UGCUGCAUGGCUGUCGUCAGCUCGUGUCGUGAGAUGUUGGGUUAAGUCCCGCAACGAGCGCAACCUUACCAUUAAUUGCCAUCAUUGAGUUGGGCACUUUAAUGGGACUGCCGGUGACAAACCGGAGGAAGGUGGGGAUGACGUCAAGUCCUCAUGGCCCUUAUGGGUAGGGCUUCACACGUCAUACAAUGGUCGGUACAGAGGGUUGCCAAGCCGCGAGGUGGAGCUAAUCUCAUAAAGCCGAUCGUAGUCCGGAUCGCAGUCUGCAACUCGACUGCGUGAAGUCGGAAUCGCUAGUAAUCGUGGAUCAGCAUGCCACGGUGAAUACGUUCCCGGGUCUU
Molecule: ribosomal RNA, 341 nt
Filed under: uncultured Rhodocyclaceae bacterium
Lineage: Bacteria; Pseudomonadati; Pseudomonadota; Betaproteobacteria; Rhodocyclales; Rhodocyclaceae
Description: bacterial SSU rRNA
Rfam family: Bacterial small subunit ribosomal RNA
Source: RNAcentral